This 367-nucleotide unclassified non-coding RNA is filed under the name Hevea brasiliensis (rubber tree). Lineage: Eukaryota; Viridiplantae; Streptophyta; Magnoliopsida; Malpighiales; Euphorbiaceae. The record is from RNAcentral.
GAGAGAGAGAGAGAGAGAGAGAGGGGGUGAUGGAGAGAUCCACAAAAACGAUUCGUUUUGGGAACAAAACCGGUGCCACAGAUCGUUAGUCGUGGAAUCUUUUACGAGUAUAAUCUGAUUCGAUUCCGAUUGAGAAUAUUGUUGUUGACCGUACGAACGAUCUUUGUGGACCGGAGAGGAUGCCGUCUCACGGGGAUCUGGACCGUCAGAUCGAACACCUCAUGGAGUGCAAGCCGUUGCCGGAGGCCGAGGUCAAGACUCUCUGUGAUCAAGCCAAGGCGAUUCUCGUCGAGGAGUGGAACGUGCAGCCAGUGAAAUGUCCGGUCACCGUUUGCGGUGAUAUUCACGGGCAGUUCUACGAUCUCAU